Molecule: transfer RNA, 72 nt
Filed under: Frankiaceae bacterium
Lineage: Bacteria; Bacillati; Actinomycetota; Actinomycetes; Frankiales; Frankiaceae
Description: tRNA-Val
Rfam family: tRNA
About the family: Transfer RNA (tRNA) molecules are approximately 80 nucleotides in length. Their secondary structure includes four short double-helical elements and three loops (D, anti-codon, and T loops). Further hydrogen bonds mediate the characteristic L-shaped molecular structure. tRNAs have two regions of fundamental functional importance: the anti-codon, which is responsible for specific mRNA codon recognition, and the 3' end, to which the tRNAs corresponding amino acid is attached (by aminoacyl-tRNA synthetases). tRNAs cope with the degeneracy of the genetic code in two manners: having more than one tRNA (with a specific anti-codon) for a particular amino acid; and 'wobble' base-pairing, i.e. permitting non-standard base-pairing at the 3rd anti-codon position.
Source: RNAcentral
GCCUGUUUAGCUCAGCAGUAGAGCGCCGCUUUCACACAGCGGAGGUCCGGGGGGCGGCACCUCGAGCAGGCA